AUACUUCCCUGGCAAUGGAGACACAGUGAUCAAGAAAGGAUCAAGCUUAUCCUUUGCACUCCCAAUGUGCUGACCCCUGCGAUUUCCCCAAAAGUGGGAAACUCAACUGCAUAAUUUAUGGUAGUGAGAGGCUGCAUUCAUGCUGUCCCACG
Small nuclear RNA from Otolemur garnettii (small-eared galago), 152 nucleotides. Its record names the gene U1. It matches the Rfam family "U1 spliceosomal RNA". Rfam says of the family: U1 is a small nuclear RNA (snRNA) component of the spliceosome (involved in pre-mRNA splicing). Its 5' end forms complementary base pairs with the 5' splice junction, thus defining the 5' donor site of an intron. NCBI's taxonomy places the organism in Eukaryota, Metazoa, Chordata, Mammalia, Primates, Galagidae. The record is from Ensembl.